Long non-coding RNA from Diachasmimorpha longicaudata, 2608 nucleotides. RefSeq lists it as uncharacterized. The record is from RefSeq and is a predicted model, not a curated record. NCBI's taxonomy places the organism in Eukaryota, Metazoa, Arthropoda, Insecta, Hymenoptera, Braconidae. The transcript is spliced from 3 exons.
ACCCUUGUACUCGUAAUUCUUACCGGCGCAGGCGGGUACAAGCCAUGGCCAUUCACACGUUAAAGAUUUCUCAUCAAAUACCAAUCCAUAAGGACAGCGAAACUCGUAUGGCAUCAUAUCUCCUCCUCCUGACAGACAAGCAAAGAACCAUCUGCAAUUAUUAGGAUCAGCAUAAUAACCAUCUCCAGGACAUUGGAAUCUUCUUAGAGUGGUGGGUGCAAUUUCACUGCUUCCAGGGCAAGGUGAUCCUCUUGGCAUUGAUCCAGGCCAAACGCAUACCUCAGUCUGUUCGUCAAAUGACAAACCCUCCGGGCAAUCGAACUCAAAUACACUGUAGUCUUCGAUUUGCUGAUUAAAUUUCACGCAACGAUAGAACCUUGUGAAGCAAUAUUAAAUUAUAGCAAGGGCUAUACAAUACCCAUACAAUUAAUUUCAAGGCACUUAUCACUCUAAUCAGGAAUGUGUUACAAAUAUAAUUGUACCUGUUGCAGCUCUUGGGAUGUACAAAAUGACCCUGUUUCAAACACGUAAACUCUGUUUGUGUAUUCUCUCUGAUAGCACGAACAUUGCCUGAGCCAUCAACGAUCUGAAUUAUUCGGAAGUCGGAGGGCUUUACACUCAGUGGAUAUGGAUUGUCUGUAGUCUUGAAAAGAUAAUAUAGAAAAAAUAAAAAUUUAGUGAAUUUCAUUGAAACAAAACUCGCCUACAACGUAGUCAUUGUCAAAAUGUGGCUUCCACUGUUUCCAGAAUAGUCAAAUACAUAUAUCUACUAUUGGAAUAAGUAGUGAAUUCAAUAUACCGAGUGUGUGCUUCACGCGUCCUAUUUGACUUUUCCACCUCGAAUACAUUGACCAAUGAGGAUAAAGUCUUACACACGAAGUUAGCAUAUGUCUUACGUGGCUAACUUAAUUUAUGUGCUUGUGCUUUCUUGAAUAUGAUGAUGAUGAUAUAUAUAAAUAAUGGAGAUAGAGAUAAUAAUAGAAUAAGAUAUCUAAUGUCGUAAACAUUGUCAUCCUCUAAAAUCACUUAAUUAAAAGUGCCUCUAGUUAGCUGAUAACAAUUAUUUUUUAAUCCCAGGCGAGCGGAGGCAUUUAAUGUUGGUUUGCCGAGGAUUUCCUUAUGUGGAUGGCAAUUUGAUCGUCAGUACGACAAAGUAUUUAUGAUUAGAAGGGAAAGUAUUUUAUUCGCCCGCAGGAUAUAAGGUCGUUCACAUUUACUUAGCUAAUUAUAUAAAAUAAAAACGUGAAGAUGAUAAUAAGAAUAAGACAGAAAGUAUUUGCACUUCUUAUAAAUACUUCAAAUUCUUAAAAAUACAAUACUUAUUCCCACAUAGCACGAAAAACCUUUGAUUUCCUCAACUAAAUAGUUCUACAAAUCUCAAUUGAUGAGGUUUAUACAAAAAAGUAGCAUAACUCUUGCUAUUUUUGGUUGCAAGGAAAAACCAGGAAAAUUGAUCUCUACACGCUCUUUAUUUCAAGCGUGGCGAACUAAAAAAAUCAUCAUUAUAUACGAACUAGGCGUUAAUAACUAGAAAAUAGUCAAGCUUCAUACCUUUUACUUUCAAAAUUAAUACCACGGCAGGCUGUUUAAUUCAAAAAGUGUGAAUGAUUUUGUCAUGCAAACGAAAGAAGAGAAAAUUACUCUGUAUUUAUUAUGCAAUUAUUAAUGAACCGAAUUUAAGAGUGAACCAUAAUUGAACCGGUAUUGAUGUUCAUUUCCCAUGGCGUUUCUCCAUCGAGGGUUUUGCAUUAAUUUUAAUAUAAUUAAAUAGUACUGAUUGGAAACAAUUUUUUAAAACAUUUUUCAUAGUUUAUUUACCGGAAGUGUUCAGGUACUGAAGGUCAUGACCUUGAUGUACAACUGUCGUACAUCUGCAGAUCGAAUUCCCCAGCAGUCUCAAAUCAUUGGAUGUUGUGUAACAGAGAAUUUCUCGUUGAGGAUGAGUUUGGUGUCUUGAACAUGCUGGUAAAAAAUGAAAAUAAUUUUUUCAACAAUUUUAUACCCAUUAGAAUGGGUUGCAAUCUGUAGAUAGUUUAUUAUAGUAUAUAGUUUUUCAAAAAUCGCAUUGAAUUAGAAUUUUAGUUUGCGUACAUUUUUCUGUUGAGGAAAAUGAACUUAGAAAAAAAAUUUUGCAUUGUGAAACAAAACAAUAGCAGAAAUAGUGAAUUUUAAUUUACUAAUACUUUUCAAAUAAGAAAUUUGAAUAGAAUUCACAAUAUUUUUAUUCCGUUUUAGAUUGAAAUUUUAUUUAUUUGUCUUGAUAUACCGAAGAGAUGCGAUACAUAAACGUUUUUUUAAUUCUUCACUAAUAUUUCCAUUGGAAUAACAUGAAAAAAUCUUUCUUAUGGUUCAUUUAUGCAUCUAAAGUUGACAUCAUCGCUGGUUAUGGCUAUAAUAUAGUUAUUUGCAUAGUCGCUGAAGAUGUUCACAUUAGCGUUGUUGAUAUCUAACAAUGUACGAUCCUACAAAAUAUUACCUUCAAUUAUAUUCAAAAAGGCAAAAAUUUUUACUCUUUUUUUAAAAUCUACCCUAUUAAAAUCUGUGAUCAACUUAGAUAAAACUUUAAAAUUCAAUUUUCCAAUAAAUCUUUUUCGAACUCACUGGCAGU